GAGAGCAAGAACAGCCCGCAGGUCCCGAGGCGCUUGCAGGGGACUCUGCCGCGGAAAGUUCCCAGUCCCCAGCCGCAGAAGCUUUUUAUUUUUGGUUGAUUCCUGCUGUCUACUCCUCUUGGAUGCCUUUGUGAAACUGCUUCUAUCUGAGAAGGAGGAGUUGCCAUUUAGCAAGUAGUAGGUGGUACCGUGUGUGGCAGAGUCCGAUGUGUUACACCACGAGGACAUUCAUCUUUGCAAUUGGUGAAGUCCUUCUACCUAGUUCCCCUUCCUUGUGCACAGAAGAGGACUGGAAAACUCCUCACAGGACUGCAUACUGCUAUCUCUGAGAAGUUUCGGUGUGAAAUCAUAUCUUAUUGAAAAUAUGGAUGUAACAUGUUGACACCACAGAAACCCUCAUAACGUAGGCUGCCAGUUGAUCACCCUUUCUACUCCACCUGGGGCAAAGCUGAUUUCAGACACACCUCAGAGAGACCAGAAAGAAGAAAGUACCUCUUCCUUCCAAGCUUCUACCUAAGAGUAUACUGGAAGGUUUACCUAGAGCAACAAGACAACGAAAUGGAUUGUCCUUCUCACGCUAGUCCACACACAAUCCUCAUCAUUUUGAUAAGAUAGCAUGAAGUCUCUUAUCGCUUGUGGAUCCAGCACUUUGGUUCAGGUUCAUCUGCCCAUAAUUCUCUAAGAUUUGGAGCUGUUGAGGAGUGGCUCAUAGUAGACACUGAACCAUCAGCCAACAGCAUUUGUUGUCCUGGAUGUCUGUGCCAACCUUUCGAGUCACACUGGGGUCUAAAGACACACCUGGAAUAAAAAUCAGAAUGCUUAAGAAACUUAAUAUGAUCUGCGGGAGAAUACAUGAGGUUUUUGUUUCAUACCACAGUCUGAUGACAGCAUGGAUUUCAACUGAUGAUGUUCACCUUUGCCUCUUGGAUGGUGAAGAUACAUAUAUGCACUGUGGUGGCUUGAGAAAGAAUGCUCCUCACAUUGACUUAUAUAUUUGAAUACUUGAUGCUCCAUUAGAACUCUUUGGGAAGGAUUAGGAGGUCAAUAUGUGAGCUCAGAGAUUUCCCUGCUUUUGUUCUGUCAUUAUGGAUUCUAAACUUCUGAAACUACAUACUCAAUUAAAUGUUUUCUUUUAUAAAU
RNAcentral lists this long non-coding RNA (1140 nucleotides) under Mus musculus (house mouse). RNAcentral's name for it is "RIKEN cDNA 2610316D01 gene". The record is from RNAcentral. Lineage: Eukaryota; Metazoa; Chordata; Mammalia; Rodentia; Muridae.